UGAAGAGUAUUAAAACCAUCCUGCAGAAGUAAUUAGCGACCAGAAGGGGGCUCUCUUGUGUUACACUAGCGGUUGCCAAACACUUCCAUGCUGUGGUGGCCCGACUAAAGCCUUUGGAUAUAUCUUUCUGCAGCUUACUAACUAAACAAAAGCAAUGUUGUUCAGCACAAAUACAACAUUCUCACUCUCUACUCCACCAACAGGGCGGAGAGGAAGAGAGCCAGUGUGAAGCAGCAGAGUCUCAGCAGAAACCUCUUCAUCCUGGAAAGAACGGACCAAUCAGGACAGCCAUAUUUCAGUCCCGCCCCUCAGGUCCAGGAAGUAUGUCAGGAGGUGGAUGAGUUCAUCUAUGUGGCCAAUGCAGAGACAGGAAGAGGUAACACCAAGACUCCAACACAUUCCUCAUACUUGCUCCUAUUCCUAGGCCCUUGUUGCCAGCCAGAUAAUCUUGUCAAGCAAACUGACUCCUGCGCUCACAGAAUAUGAGCUAUCGCAACAUCAGGCUGGUUCCACCAGGCUACCUUCCAGGACCAGAGCCAGUGAAAGGUGGUGAGGGGGAGGCGUCUCAGAUCCAGGCAUUGGUGGACCCUGCCUAGUGUUCGUCCUCCAGAACCCUCCUGGUCCUGACUUUUGUGUCCAGAGAGGAACCAGACCCAAUCAGAACCACUAGUCCCAGUACUGCUAGAUUAAAGACCAGGAACCCCAGUGUGGAUAUUGCACAGAGGCUCUGCCUGUCCCUGCUACCCAACCUCUGUCUGUCUGUCUGUCUGUCUGUCUGUCUGUCUGUCUGUCUGUCUGUCUGUCUGUCUGUCUGUCUGUCUGUCUGUCUGUCUGUCUGUCUGUCUGCCUGCCUGCCUGCCUGCCUGCCUGCCUGCCUGCCUGCCUGCCUGCCGGAGUGCUCUGGUCUCAGACUGUAGCUAGCUGUCUAAGGAGCCUGUCUGCUGGGGUGCUCUGGUCUCAGGCAGUAGCUAGCUGUCUAAGGAGCCUGUCUGCUGGGGUGCUCUGGUCUUAGACUGUAGCUAGCUGUCAGAGGAUCCUGUCUGCUGGGGUGUUCUGGUCUCAGGCUGUAGCUAGCUGUCCAAGGAACCUGUCUGCUGGGGUGCUGUGGUCUCAGACUGUAGCUAGCUGUCAGAAGUUCCUGUCUGCUGGGGUGCUCUGGUCUCAGGCUGUAGCUAGCUGUCAGAGGAUCCUGUCUGCUGGGGUGCUCUGGUCUCAGACUGUAGCUAGCUGUCAGAGGUUCCUGUCUGCUGGAGUGCUCUGGUCUCAGGCUGUAGCUAGCUGUCUAAGGAGCCUGUCUGCUGGGGUGCUCUGGUCUCAGACUGUAGCUAACUGUCAGAGGAUCCUGUCUGCUGGGGUGUUCUGGUCUCAGGCUGUAGCUAGCUGUCCAAGGAUCCUGUCUGCUGGGGUGCUGUGGUCUCAGACUGUAGCUAGCUGUCAGAGGUUCCUGUCUGCUGGGGUGCUCUGGUCUCAGGCUGUAGCUAGCUGUCAGAGGAUCCUGUCUGCUGGGGUGCUCUGGUCUCAGGCUGUAGCUAGCUGUCAGAGGAUCCUGUCUGCUGGGGUGCUCUGGUCUCAGGCUGUAGCUAGCUGUCAGAGGAUCCUGUCUGCUGGGGUGCUGUGGUCUCAGGCUGUAGCUAGCUGUCAGAGGAUCCUGUCUGCUGGGGUGCUGUGGUCUCAGGCUGUUGCUAGCUGUCAGAGGAUCCUGUCUGCUGGGGUGCUGUGGUCACAGGAUCCUGUCUGCUGGGGUGCUGUGGUCUCAGGCUGUAGCUAGCUGUCAGAGGAUCCUGUCUGCUGGGGUGCUGUGGUCUCAGGCUUUAGCUAGCUGUCAGAGGAUCCUGUCUGCUGGGGUGCUGUGGUCUCAGGCUGUAGCUAGCUGUCCAAGGAUCCUGUCUGCUGGGGUGCUGUGGUCUCAGGCUGUAGCUAGCCUUCAGAGGAUCCUGUCUGCUGGGGUGCUCUGUUCUCAGGCUGUAGCUAGCUGUCAGAGGAUCCUGUCUGCUGGGGUGCUCUGGUCUCAGGCUGUAGCUAGCUGUCAGAGGAUCCUCUCUGCUGGGGUGCUGUGGUCUCAGGCUGUAGCUAGCUAUCUAAGGAACUACCUUCAGCACAAAUGCUUCUGAAGGAAUGUUCUACCUCUGAUGUGCCUUGUUUCAAUGAAUCGCAAAAGAAAAAGUCAUUAUUGGGUUAAUAUUAUUUAAUAACCCUGUCAAAAUGUUUUGGUGAAUAAAUUGUGGGUUGUGAAACAAAACAGAAGUGAAGAGAACUACUGUUUAACUGUAGCUACGGUACUUUAAUGAAGAUAAUGAAGGGUUUUGGUUAUGACAUUGUUUUCUUCUACUACUACUGCGUAGUUUAGAAGCAUUUAGAAUCAUAUUGAUGUGACAAGGAAUUAUGGGUAAUUAUUUUUUUAUACCUUUAUUUCAGCAAAUCAUGCAAUUUUUAUUUGAUUUCUUUCAAAAGUAAAAAAAUUUUAUACUCCAAAAUAUUAGGCUUUUAUUUUCUUUCAUUGUUUAAAUUCAUGUUCUAAAUUACCACUGCAC
Molecule: long non-coding RNA, 2531 nt
Filed under: Salmo salar (Atlantic salmon)
Lineage: Eukaryota; Metazoa; Chordata; Actinopteri; Salmoniformes; Salmonidae
Description: lncRNA (ENSSSAG00000099812.1)
Source: RNAcentral